Long non-coding RNA from Cyanistes caeruleus (blue tit), 797 nucleotides. NCBI's taxonomy places the organism in Eukaryota, Metazoa, Chordata, Aves, Passeriformes, Paridae. The record is from Ensembl.
CUGGCUUGGUGCCUGGCACACGCCUGUGCAGUAACAAGAGACAGGCAGGACUUAGGAGCACAUUAGGAGACAAUUUGACGCAGAAGCGAGCAGGCAGCGCGGCAGAUGAAACAGGGAGUUUUAGAGACAGAUCCAUUCCACUGACCUGUGAACAGAGCUGUGCUCUCUGAGAAGACUGCAGUGCUCGGAGGCUUCCAGCUCACUCUCUUUCUGCAGUGUGUCUGUACAGGAAACCUUGGCAAGCAUGGCACAUUUUGUUUUAAUAGAGAAUAAUCAUGAAGGAUCCAAAGAUAAGUACUAAUCAGAGACAAUGGACACAGUGCUCAUCUACUCUGUUUUCUUGAAGAUAAGGCUUUGAAACAGUGGUGAGUAAGCUAAAUGAUAAAUCAGCAGAUGCUGGCAGCUUCAGGAGCAGAAACUAUUAACUGUACAUUAGGAAUGGUUUAUAUUCAUUAACAAAGUUUAUACCAUGGAGCUGUGUGGUUAGCCAUCACUUUCCCUUCUAAUUUUUGGCCUUUCUGCAGAAGCAGUGAUGUUAGCUGUGGCCUUUCUUCACCUACAAAAGAAGGGGAAAGCUGGAGGAGGACAUUCAGGCUUUUCCUCAAUUCUUGCCUAUCGAAGAGAUUCAUAAAUCAAAGGAAAUAAGAUGCUCAGUGGAACCCUGCUGAGUGAUUGGAAAUCCCUAGGUGAAUGCAUAUGGGACUGAAGCAUUUGGGAAACAAAUUUUUGAAGCUGUUACUGUUGAACUGAAAUGGAAUGUUGAAGGUGAGCAUUCAUGCUUAACUCUGAUGUCAGUG